AAAAAGAAUAAAAUGCGGACAAAUGAAUAAAAUGCGGACAACAUUUUAUUAUUUUGUCCGCAUUUUAUUCUUUUUUUCGCAUUUUA
Non-coding RNA from Paramuricea clavata, 86 nucleotides. Lineage: Eukaryota; Metazoa; Cnidaria; Anthozoa; Malacalcyonacea; Plexauridae. The record is from the annotation of a GenBank genome assembly.